GGUAUAGCUCAGUGGUAGAGUGCUUGCCUACCAUGCGUGAGGCCCUGAGUUUGAUCCCAGUACC
RNAcentral lists this transfer RNA (64 nucleotides) under Heterocephalus glaber (naked mole-rat). It matches the Rfam family "tRNA". Rfam says of the family: Transfer RNA (tRNA) molecules are approximately 80 nucleotides in length. Their secondary structure includes four short double-helical elements and three loops (D, anti-codon, and T loops). Further hydrogen bonds mediate the characteristic L-shaped molecular structure. tRNAs have two regions of fundamental functional importance: the anti-codon, which is responsible for specific mRNA codon recognition, and the 3' end, to which the tRNAs corresponding amino acid is attached (by aminoacyl-tRNA synthetases). tRNAs cope with the degeneracy of the genetic code in two manners: having more than one tRNA (with a specific anti-codon) for a particular amino acid; and 'wobble' base-pairing, i.e. permitting non-standard base-pairing at the 3rd anti-codon position. The record is from Rfam by way of RNAcentral. Lineage: Eukaryota; Metazoa; Chordata; Mammalia; Rodentia; Bathyergidae.